AUCCAGCUGACCAGUCCCAAAUAGGACGAAACUCACUCUCUGGAU
Molecule: non-coding RNA, 45 nt
Filed under: Schistosoma bovis
Lineage: Eukaryota; Metazoa; Platyhelminthes; Trematoda; Strigeidida; Schistosomatidae
Also listed under: 1 other name
Source: RNAcentral